This 231-nucleotide unclassified non-coding RNA is filed under the name fungal sp. RNAcentral describes it as "partial internal transcribed spacer region". The stretch from base 1 to 48 matches the Rfam family "Eukaryotic small subunit ribosomal RNA", at positions 1784 to 1831 of the family's 1831-position model. The record is from RNAcentral. Lineage: Eukaryota; Fungi.
AAAAGUCGUAACAAGGUCUCCGUUGGUGAACCAGCGGAGGGAUCAUUAUCGAGUCUAAAAAACUCCCUAAACCAUUGUGAACUUACCUAUUCGUUGCUUCGGUGGGCGACCCUUCUAGGGGUCCUCGGUCGCAAGGCGCCCGCCGAAGGUUAUUUAACUCUUGCUUUUUUGUCACAUCUGAGUUAUUACAAAAAUAAUCAAAACUUUCAACAACGGAUCUCUUGGCUCUAG